This 70-nucleotide transfer RNA is filed under the name Bettongia penicillata (woylie). RNAcentral's name for it is "tRNA-Asp". The record is from RNAcentral. Lineage: Eukaryota; Metazoa; Chordata; Mammalia; Diprotodontia; Potoroidae.
AAGAUAUUAGUAAUAAUUAUUACAUAACUUUGCCAUAGUUAAAUUAUAGGUCACAACCCUAUAUAUCUUA